This 253-nucleotide ribosomal RNA is filed under the name uncultured bacterium. RNAcentral's name for it is "partial 16S ribosomal RNA". It matches the Rfam family "Bacterial small subunit ribosomal RNA", at positions 524 to 776 of the family's 1533-position model. The record is from RNAcentral.
UACGGAGGAUGCAAGCGUUAUCCGGAAUGAUUGGGCGUAAAGCGUCCGCAGGUGGCUGUGUAAGUCUGCUGUCAAAGAGCAAAGCUCAACUUUGUAAAGGCAGUGGAAACUACACGGCUAGAGUGCGUUCGGGGCAGAGGGAAUUCCUGGUGUAGCGGUGAAAUGCGUAGAGAUCAGGAAGAACACCGGUGGCGAAGGCGCUCUGCUAGGCCGCAACUGACACUGAGGGACGAAAGCGUGGGGAGCAAAAAGG